RNAcentral lists this ribosomal RNA (396 nucleotides) under Triticum aestivum (bread wheat). RNAcentral describes it as "partial small subunit ribosomal RNA". The record is from RNAcentral. Lineage: Eukaryota; Viridiplantae; Streptophyta; Magnoliopsida; Poales; Poaceae.
AUGUACAUCUUACCGGAAGGUGUGCAUAGCUCCUUUGACAAGGAGCUGGCUAGGUUCUUCUGGCAGGCAGGGGAUGGUCGGCCCAAGUACCAUAUGGUGAAGUGGGCUGACAUUUGCUUGCCGAAGGAUCGAGGUGGGUUGGGCAUCCCUGCAUCGCGCCGGAUGAACGUUGCGCUUAUGCUGCAUUGGGUUUGGCGGAUCUUGCGGGGAGAUGGGGGGUUGUGGCUGCAGCUGGUUGAGUCCAAGUACUUGCAGGGUCAGCCCCUCAUGGCUUGCUCUCACUCAGCUGGGUCCCAGUUUUGGAAAUCUAUUCAGGCCAUCAAGGAAGAGAUUAGGUUGGGUGUGCGUUUUUCGGUUGGCAAUGGCUCUGGGACCCAAUUUUGGUUGGACCCCUAG